RNAcentral lists this non-coding RNA (1415 nucleotides) under Alligator mississippiensis (American alligator). RNAcentral's name for it is "Eukaryotic large subunit ribosomal RNA". The stretch from base 8 to 245 matches the Rfam family "Eukaryotic large subunit ribosomal RNA", at positions 2139 to 2327 of the family's 3401-position model. Lineage: Eukaryota; Metazoa; Chordata; Crocodylia; Alligatoridae. The record is from Rfam by way of RNAcentral.
AUGUGCAUCACUAAUUAAAACAAAGCAUUGUGAAGGUCCGCGGUGGGUGUUGAUGCAAUGUGAUUUCGGCCCAUUGCUCUGAAUGUCAAAGUGAAGAAAUUCUUUUAAGCUUAGGUAAAUGGCGAGAGGAACUAUGACUCUCUUAAGGAGGCAGCUCCUUUAAGGGAAAGGGUCUGGUUACACGGUCACAGCAGGUUUAUGCCAGGUACCUCCCUGUGGUUCUCACUGGGUGCUGAAAGCAAAAAGCCUUUCAGUAGCUCAAUCCUGGUACAGAGCUGUCAGGGAGUUCUUCCCAGGGAGUUCGCUCCCUCCUCCCCCUCCCAGGUUGCCUCACACGCUUCCAGGGGUUAACUCCUCAUAGCAAAAAACAUGAUGCCUUGAGGGCAGAUUGCCAGGCAACUCUGGCCUAACUGUUGGUCACUCAGUUGAAUGUGGCUAAUUAAUCAGUUGGGCAGCGGGUUGCUUGACUGUAUAACAAGGUCUGUGCGUCCAGCCCGAAUCAGGAUGCGGAAACUACAGGAAUUGACAGGAAUCCCUUCAGAAUUGAUGGGGGCUAGAGAGGCACUAACCAAAUCUGAAACUUCAUGGAAUUGACUGUACAGUUUGAGUAGUUCUCCCUCAACCUUGUGUGUCGUGUUAACCAGUUGGGUGUGGAAGCUCAGCUGCCCAUUAUGUACAAGUUGAGUAGCUCUCCCUCAACCUUGUGUUGUGCUGACAGAGGUGAAACUUGUUGACUGGUGCAAGAUGCACUUGAGUGCUAGCCAGUUGGGUGCAGAACCUCAGCUGCAUGUCAUGGGCUGAGGCCUAAUAAUGCAAGGGACUGGUAUUGGGAUUAAGAGGGGCCUGGGGCAUUAGGCCUGUGCCAUGAGGGGUGAAACACUUUGACUGGUGCUGCUUAGACUGGAAUGGAAGCUUUUGCCAAGAAUGUUUCGUUAGUUUGGUAUCAGGAUUCAGAGGGGCCCAGGGCAUUGGUCCUGUGCUGUGAGGGAUGAAACCCUAAGAUCGGUGCUGGAUGAACUGAAUGGAAGCAUUUGCCAAGAAUGUUUCUUCAGUUAUAAUCAAUGAGCACCCCACUUGAGGGUCUUCUGGACUUGGCCUCAGGGAGCUGUCCUGGAGGCCAUGCUGCUUGGACUCAGGCCAUGGAGCCUGUUCCCCAGUGGGAUCAGAAUCUCGUGAUGAUUACUUCCUAUCUGGUCUUGAGGUGCUAUAAUCAGAUGAUGCAUGACAACGUCACUCUGUUCUGGGCCGUCUGGAACCAUAGCCUUGCUGCAAAAGCAGCUGUGCUGCAUGGGGCAUGCUGAGCUGAUUAGCCAAAUGACUCUAAAUAACCCAAAAGAGGUUCCCUUCGGGGGUACGGUAAAUAGCCAAAUGCCUCAUCAUCUAAUUAGUGACAUGCAUGAAUGGAUGAACAAGAU